This is a long non-coding RNA of Eriocheir sinensis (Chinese mitten crab), 1625 nucleotides long. RefSeq lists it as uncharacterized. NCBI's taxonomy places the organism in Eukaryota, Metazoa, Arthropoda, Malacostraca, Decapoda, Varunidae. The record is from RefSeq and is a predicted model, not a curated record. The transcript is spliced from 2 exons.
UUCCUUUGAAUUUGUCACACACCUGUUAUAUUGUUUAGCUCACCUAUUGAUCUUUAUUUGAUUUUCUUUCUUUUCUUCCUAAAUUCCUUUUUUUUCUCAUUUCUUUCUACUACUUCCUUUUUUCAUUUUCUCCUUAAAUUUCAUUCCUUUCUCUUUUAUAUAAACUCAAGUGCAGAAUUAGUCUGUUUAUCUCAAUUUAUCUCUCUAUCAGUCAUUCUAAUAUUCUCUCUCUCUCUCUCUCAUCGAGGAGGAGGAGGAGGCGGAUAAUAUAUGACUCAAUCGACAACCCUUCUCUCCCUUCCGUUCUCUCCCACUCUCUCUCUCAGGACGGAGGGAGGAGAGUGUAGCACCCCUGCACGUGGAGAAAGAGGGAAGAAGGGAGAGAGGGAGAGGGAGAAAGGGGGGUGGGGGGAAGCGCACGUGGAGUCUGCUUGCAAGAAAGGGCGACAUGUGCUGGCCGACUGCUUGUUUUCCCUCCUCCCUCUCUCCCUGCCUGAGUGUCUGCGCGUGCUACCCCCCUCACCGUCUCUCUCUCUCUCUCUCUCUCUCUGGCCAUGCGCUGUUGGAAAAUCGGUAACUUGGCAACAGGGCAGCCGGGCGAGUGUGUGUGUGUGUGUGUGUGUGUGUGUGUGUGUGUAGUCUCUCUCACACACACGCCCGCGUCACCCACACCUCCACACACGCCCCCCCUGUCUACUGUUUAAUGCUUUUCCUCGUUUUGUCUUCUUCCGUUCCCCUUCAACCAUAUUUUAAAGUUAUCCUCACUCCAGGGCCCCUACAGUCACAGGUCUUAUGCGCCGUCAGGAACCCGCCAUCCACAUGCACCCGGGUUAUGCUUGUUGCCGGGCCUCGUCUGGACAACCUGCUGCAGUGCAGCCUGCAUUUCUCGGCCGAGGCCUUCCACGGCAAGGCCGGGGAGAGGUCCAGCAGGUUCAAGGGGGGCGCCGUGCCCUGCCUCAACCUUCCCCCCUCACCUGGUAACCUUUAGUUUAUCGUACUUCAUACAGUACGUGUAUUUUCCGAAUUCCUCUUCACUAUCUUCACACGACCUCUUCGUGUCACGAAACACAAAAAGUUGAUCCAGACCCGGAAAGGGUUUUACCGGCGCCGGGGAUCGAAUCCGCGACCGGCUAGAUGGGAAAGCCACUCCUUAACCAGUCGGCCAAAGAGGUACUCCCUCGCAGCUGAGUUUGGGCAGUUUUCCCCUCAGGCGGGUCAGGCACCUUUUCUUUCUUUAGAUGUUGCCUAUAGCGCCCGUAGGCUCUCCUGAGGGGCCUUCUAGGCGAUCCCAGUGCGUUAGUGGCACAGGCGAAUUACACUUUGUGGCUGCGUGAUGUAUGACUCGCCUGGCCCACGCUGCCCCCCGGUGCUCCUCUUGAACGAAGUCGCUGAAGUUAGGGUUGCUUGAAGAUCUGGACAGCAUGUGGGUAAUCUUCCGCCACUCGGCGAUGGUUUGAAAGAUCAGUGUGUUUCGGUGGGACUCGAACCCAGGUCCACGGGCUCACCACGCCCGCACGCUAACCACUCGGCCGCCGCCUCCCCAUCCAGAUUGCACCCAACUCACUUCAUUGGUAGACACUCUGGUAAAUCUAAAGAAGUCUUUAAUCCUUUUUAGUAAUUUUAAG